UACACUCCUACGGGAGGCAGCAGUGGGGAAUAUCGCACAAUGGGCGCAAGCCUGAUGCAGCCAUGCCGCGUGUAUGAAGAAGGCCUUCGGGUUGUAAAGUACUUUCAGCGGGGAGGAAGGCGAUAAGGUUAAUAACCUUGUCGAUUGACGUUACCCGCAGAAGAAGCACCGGCUAACUCCGUGCCAGCAGCCGCGGUAAUACGGAGGGUGCAAGCGUUAAUCGGAAUUACUGGGCGUAAAGCGCACGCAGGCGGUCUGUCAAGUCGGAUGUGAAAUCCCCGGGCUCAACCUGGGAACUGCAUUCGAAACUGGCAGGCUAGAGUCUUGUAGAGGGGGGUAGAAUUCCAGGUGUAGCGGUGAAAUGCGUAGAGAUCUGGAGGAAUACCGGUGGCGAAGGCGGCCCCCUGGACAAAGACUGACGCUCAGGUGCGAAAGCGUGGGGAGCAAACAGGAUUAGAUACCCGGGUAGUCCCAUG
This 476-nucleotide ribosomal RNA is filed under the name uncultured organism. RNAcentral's name for it is "partial 16S ribosomal RNA". It matches the Rfam family "Bacterial small subunit ribosomal RNA", at positions 332 to 799 of the family's 1533-position model. The record is from RNAcentral.